CACCGCGGUUACACGAGAGGCCCAAGUUGAUAGACAUCGGCGUAAAGGGUGGUUAAUAGGAUAAAUUACACUAAAGCCGAACGCUUUCAAAGCUGUCAUAUGCUCUCGAAGAUAGGAAGCUCGCCCACGAAAGUGGCUUUAACAACUAUGACCCCACGAAAGCUAGGGCA
This 170-nucleotide ribosomal RNA is filed under the name Gobiodon micropus. Its description in RNAcentral is "partial 12S rRNA". The record is from RNAcentral. Lineage: Eukaryota; Metazoa; Chordata; Actinopteri; Gobiiformes; Gobiidae.